This 213-nucleotide long non-coding RNA is filed under the name Gossypium raimondii (Peruvian cotton). RNAcentral's name for it is "long non-coding RNA (GRAI_LNC008459)". Lineage: Eukaryota; Viridiplantae; Streptophyta; Magnoliopsida; Malvales; Malvaceae. The record is from RNAcentral.
UUGAAGGUCGGGAGUUCGAGGCUCUACGUGAACAAAGGAGUUAAUUUUUUAUUGCCUGGCCGUGGAGGUGUUGUAGUUUGACCGAAAUUUGAGUGUUUGAGGAGUGUGGGGAUGUGUGGCCGAUUUUUAGAAGGUUAGUGGGGGGAUUGCAAUUGUUAAGGGGUUUGGAUAGUGGGUGGUUGGAGAAUUUGGAGGAGAGGAUUAAGGGAUGUG